This is a long non-coding RNA of Panicum hallii, 1686 nucleotides long. RefSeq lists it as uncharacterized. The transcript is spliced from 2 exons. NCBI's taxonomy places the organism in Eukaryota, Viridiplantae, Streptophyta, Magnoliopsida, Poales, Poaceae. The record is from RefSeq and is a predicted model, not a curated record.
UGCCCAGGUGCGCCGACGGAUCCAAUGGAACCAGUGCCCACUGGUGCAUCUCUAACCACCACCGAUAUGCACCCAAACCACCACCACAUGCAGGUGCAUCGCUCGAUCUGCCGGAGAAAUUCGCCCUCGCCCGCCGACGUAACAGGUCUGCAAUCGCUCAGACGCUCACCGCGUACCCACGCAUCGCCGGCCAGCUCCAUCAUCGCAGCGGGGUGCGGAACCCCUCUCCCGAUGUGCCUGCGUUGACGGCACCAAGGCGGCGCCCCCACACCCGCGUCCGCCUGCGUCGCGGCUGCUGUGAGCGGCGCUCACCACCACCACCACCACGUCCGGCGGACCUGGCUGGAGGCUAAUGUGUCGCGGCCGCCGGUGCCGGUGCGUCGCUGGCCACGGUUGUCUGCGUCGCCAGGCAGCUCCACCAACGCACCGGUGAGUCGCGGAUCCUCCCAACUUGUCGCCGCCCAAUCGGAAUUCGCUAGCACGAAAUUCUGCAGGCAGCAGGAAGCGGUGGCGCAAGCCACCGAAGCAGCGACGGACGGAUACAGCAGGUCAGUCAACUAACCACUUUUGUUCAUCUGCUCCCAAAAUUAGUUCAACCGAUGCUGCCUAUGCAAGCCACGGACACGAGUUCACCAAAAAAAUUAGGAAUCACAGAUAGACAAUAAACCCAAUUUCAUGGCAAUUGCAGUUAUUAGGAUUUUUUAUGGCAGCCACUUUUUUUUUUAUUUCAACCUUAUAUUCGCACGCAGUAAAUAGCCCCCAGUAAAGACAUUUUCAUGACACCAUCACAUCGCAGCGAAAUCAUAGAAAACCAACGAGCAAGCACCCUUCGAUUAUCAUAAUGAGUACGUCGUUCACACUGAUUCCUCACAACCAGAAGCUGACCCCUUGUAUAAGUGCAUAGCAGGCAACACUUCCUAUGGCGUCCACGAUGAUGCCGGGUGAUGCCGAAAAACGAGUUGAGCCGUCGCAACACUUCCUGUGGUUUUUUUUUGUGAGAUGAGAAUGCCUCCCCUUCGCAGAUUGAUUAUUCAUUUUUCUUCUUGUUAAUGGAGGCAUGAAGAUGUAGCGAGUGAGUAUCCAAAACCGUACUUUCAUUUGGUGUGCAGGAUCAGAGGCUCUUGGAGAAGAGGAUUUUACUACUCCCUGUUUUAUCUUGAGGCAUCGGCACCGGCAUCGCAUGAUGUAAGUCGACCUGCCAGUGAAUGUUGCAUUUUUAAUGUUCUAACAUGAAUAUACUGCUAAAGCAUGGCACUCCUUGCAUCGACCUGAAUCUGCUACCCAAAUCAUGCACUUCCUGAGUUGCAACUAGAUGAUACUGACUGUGAACUGCGGCAUGGUCUUUCACAAACUUGUAAGCAGGCAGUUGAUGAUGUCCAUGGUACGGUGGUGCUCAUUUUUACUCCUUGAUCUGGACAACAACAGGCAGUAACAACUACUACUCCAUGAUACACCGCACGGCGAGCAUGCUACAGCAGCAGCUGAUGGCUCCAUGUCCAUGAGUUUAUGACGAUAUAAGAGGCUGGCAAUCUAGUUUUUUCUAUUAUUGUACUCAAGCUACCAUUUUUUGUAAUUUUUUCUCUCAUUCAAAUGAUGUCCACAGUUCUAAAUUUUUUUGUAGUUGUAACAUCACGACCUGCAAUUAAUACUCCCGUAUCAUCUCAAUAUUUUUUUUACUAUGAAUAA